RNAcentral lists this ribosomal RNA (253 nucleotides) under uncultured bacterium. RNAcentral's name for it is "partial 16S ribosomal RNA". It matches the Rfam family "Bacterial small subunit ribosomal RNA", at positions 524 to 776 of the family's 1533-position model. The record is from RNAcentral.
UACGAAGGGUGCAAGCGUUACUCGGAAUUACUGGGCGUAAAGCGUGCGUAGGUGGUUUGUUAAGUCUGUUGUGAAAGCCCCGGGCUCAACCUGGGAAUGGCAAUGGAAACUGGCGGGCUGGAGUAUGGCAGAGGGGGGUGGAAUUCCGCGUGUAGCAGUGAAAUGCGUAGAGAUGCGGAGGAACACCGAUGGCGAAGGCAGCCCCCUGGGCCAAUACUGACGCUCAGGCACGAAAGCGUGGGGAGCAAACAGG